RNAcentral lists this ribosomal RNA (380 nucleotides) under uncultured Limnothrix sp. RNAcentral's name for it is "bacterial SSU rRNA". It matches the Rfam family "Bacterial small subunit ribosomal RNA", at positions 367 to 759 of the family's 1533-position model. Lineage: Bacteria; Bacillati; Cyanobacteriota; Cyanophyceae; Pseudanabaenales; Pseudanabaenaceae. The record is from RNAcentral.
CGCAAUGGGCGAAAGCCUGACGGAGCAAUACCGCGUGAGGGACGAAGGCCUGUGGGUUGUAAACCUCUUUUCUCAGGGAAGAAGAUCUGACGGUACCUGAGGAAUCAGCAUCGGCUAACUCCGUGCCAGCAGCCGCGGUAAGACGGAGGAUGCAAGCGUUAUCCGGAAUUAUUGGGCGUAAAGCGUCCGCAGGCGGUCUCGUAAGUCUGUCUUUAAAGCGUGGAGCUUAACUCCAUAAAGGGGAUGGAAACUGCGAGACUAGAGGUAGGUAGGGGUAGAAGGAAUUCCCAGUGUAGCGGUGAAAUGCGUAGAUAUUGGGAAGAACCCCAGCAGCGAAGGCGUUCUACUGGACCAAACCUCUUUGCGACGAUGGCCGGAAA